CUUGACACUGAACAUUGAGCCUUGAUGUGUAGGAUAGGUGGGAGGCUUUGAAGUGUGGACGCCAGUCUGCAUGGAGCCGGCCUUGAAAUACCACCCUUUAAUGUUUGAUGUUCUAACGUUGGCCCCUUACCGGGGUUGCGGACAGUGUCUGGUGGGUAGUUUGACUGGGGCGGUCUCCUCCUAAAGAGUAACGGAGGAGCACGAAGGUUGGCUAAUCCUGGUCGGACAUCAGGAGGUUAGUGCAAUGGCAUAAGCCAGCUUGACUGCGAGCGUGACGGCGCGAGCAGGUGCGAAAGCAGGUCAUAGUGAUCCGGUGGUUCUGAAUGGAAGGGCCAUCGCUCAACGGAUAAAAGGUACUCCGGGGAUAACAGGCUGAUACCGCCCAAGAGUUCAUAUCGACGGCGGUGUUUGGCACCUCGAUGUCGGCUCAUCACAUCCUGGGGCUGAAGUAGGUCCCAAGGGUAUGGCUGUUCGCCAUUUAAAGUGGUACGCGAGCUGGGUUUAGAACGUCGUGAGACAGUUCGGUCCCUAUCUGCCGUGGGCGCUGGAGAACUGAGGGGGGCUGCUCCUAGUACGAGAGGACCGGAGUGGACGCAUCACUGGUGUUCGGGUUGUCAUGCCAAUGGCACUGCCCGGUAGCUAAAUGCGGAAGAGAUAAGUGCUGAAAGCAUCUAAGCACGAAACUUGCCCCGAGAUGAGUUCUCCCUGACUCUUUAAGGGUCCUGAAGGAACGUUGAAGACGACGACGUUGAUAGGCCGGGUGUGUAAGCGCAGCGAUGCGUUGAGCUAACCGGUACUAAUGAACCGUGAGGCUUAACCUUACAACGCCGAAG
This 833-nucleotide ribosomal RNA is filed under the name Escherichia coli. RNAcentral describes it as "bacterial LSU rRNA". It matches the Rfam family "Bacterial large subunit ribosomal RNA", at positions 2110 to 2925 of the family's 2925-position model. The record is from RNAcentral. Lineage: Bacteria; Pseudomonadati; Pseudomonadota; Gammaproteobacteria; Enterobacterales; Enterobacteriaceae.